This 953-nucleotide ribosomal RNA is filed under the name Typhaea sp. COL392. RNAcentral describes it as "SSU rRNA". It matches the Rfam family "Eukaryotic small subunit ribosomal RNA", at positions 40 to 938 of the family's 1831-position model. The record is from RNAcentral. Lineage: Eukaryota; Metazoa; Arthropoda; Insecta; Coleoptera; Mycetophagidae.
AAGAUUAAGCCAUGCAUGUCUCAGUACAAGCCAAAUUAAGGUGAAACCGCGAAAGGCUCAUUAAAUCAGUUAUGGUUCCUUAGAUCGUACACAGAUUUCCUUGGAUAACUGUGGUAAUUCUAGAGCUAAUACAUGCAAACAGAGCUCCAACCGGAGACGGAAGGAGCGCUUUUAUUAGAUCAAAACCAAUCGGUGGCGUUUUCGUCAUCGUACAAUUUGGUGACUCUGAAUAACUUUAAGCUGAUCGCACGGUCUAGCACCGGCGACGCAUCUUUCAAAUGUCUGCCUUAUCAACUGUCGAUGGUAGGUUCUGCGCCUACCAUGGUUGUAACGGGUAACGGGGAAUCAGGGUUCGAUUCCGGAGAGGGAGCCUGAGAAACGGCUACCACAUCCAAGGAAGGCAGCAGGCGCGCAAAUUACCCACUCCCGGCACGGGGAGGUAGUGACGAAAAAUAACGAUACGGGACUCAUCCGAGGCCCCGUAAUCGGAAUGAGUACACUCUAAAUCCUUUAACGAGGAUCAAUUGGAGGGCAAGUCUGGUGCCAGCAGCCGCGGUAAUUCCAGCUCCAAUAGCGUAUAUUAAAGUUGUUGCGGUUAAAAAGCUCGUAGUCGAAUCUGUGUAUCGCGCCGCCGGUUCAUCGUUCGCGGUGUUAACUGGCGUGUCGCGGUACGUCCUGCCGGUGGGCUUAGCUCGCAAGGGCGGCCCAACUCAAUCCCGCCGCGGUGCUCUUCAUUGAGUGUCGAGGUGGGCCGGCACGUUUACUUUGAACAAAUUAGAGUGCUUAAAGCAGGCUAAAAUUUUGCCUGAAUACUGUGUGCAUGGAAUAAUGGAAUAGGACCUCGGUUCUAUUUUGUUGGUUUUCGGAACCCCGAGGUAAUGAUUAAUAGGAACGGAUGGGGGCAUUCGUAUUGCGACGUUAGAGGUGAAAUUCUUGGAAUCGUCGCAAGACGG